UGCAGCGUGCCAUUGUCGUACGGAGGGGUGACUUGCAUUACAUCCUCAAGUACAAGCGUCUUGAAAAGCGCCACAAGAACAUGUCUGCGCACCUGCCCCCCCGCUUCAGACACACUGCAGCCCAAUCGCAUUUGUUUUCAGCAUGAAGCGGCCUGUCAGAAAGACGUGAGCUAAGCUGCUGGUGGUGCAGACCUUGAACCUGUUUACUGGGGGCUGAUGUCUAAACUCACAAUGGUCUGCAGAGCCCCUGCUGUGGACUUGUGGGCUGCUGAAAAUGCCAGUUGAGCGCUUGGUGAACCACAAAGCAUGUUCUGGUCUGCCUUCCCUUUGUCUAAUGCUUCCUUGUGUGCGAGCUGUCCUGAAAUUCAGCCUGCUGCUUCCAGGAAACUGAUGAGUAAAAUUAUCUCCCUUCACGAAACCCUAUCCACCAGCAUCCUGGGUAAAUGUGCAAAGGAAUUCCCCUUUGCCUUCCAGAGCUGUCCAAAUUGGGGAUAUUGUGACUGUUGGGGAAUGUCGAACCUAUCAGCCAGAUUACUGAUUCAACAUCUGCAAAGUCAUAAGGGCAGCUGGCACCAAGAAGCUGCUCCAGAAGUUUUAAAGGCAGCAAGUGGAGAAUGUUCAGAAUGAAUAAAGCUUUUCUUAAACCUAGGGAUUUCAUUACCAAAAAAACCAAAACCCACCAGGUUGGGGAUGCCAAAAUGUAUGAGAUAAUUUGACUGGGGACCGGGAUACCUCCCCCACUGGAAUUGCAGAUGGACCCAGGGGAGGCACUGCCAGGCCUAGGGUCAGGGAGGACCUAGUUAGGGAACUUUUGGAGGGGCUGUGCAUGUUUAAAUCAUAGUCAGAUGGCUACUGCCGGAGCCCUGGGAGAUCCCUAGGAUCCCAUGUAAGGCUGCUCUGGCCAUCCCAGAUGCUGGCCCCAGCCUCCCCUACCCCACCCAGAGCAACUUGCUGCAUGUCAAAAAUAUGUGCUGCUGCUCAUCCCUGGGGACUGCAUGCUCAUGGGGAUGUGCCCACUUGGAGUUAAAAAUAAAAUAGAACAAAAGGAAAGUGCUGCCA
RNAcentral lists this long non-coding RNA (1059 nucleotides) under Crocodylus porosus (Australian saltwater crocodile). RNAcentral's name for it is "lncRNA (ENSCPRG00005017612.1)". The stretch from base 209 to 304 matches the Rfam family "Small nucleolar RNA SNORD35". The record is from RNAcentral. Lineage: Eukaryota; Metazoa; Chordata; Crocodylia; Crocodylidae.